Molecule: ribosomal RNA, 595 nt
Filed under: uncultured bacterium
Lineage: Bacteria
Description: bacterial SSU rRNA
Rfam family: Bacterial small subunit ribosomal RNA
Source: RNAcentral
CCCUUAGAGUUUGAUCCUGGCUCAAAUUGAACGCUGGCGGCAGGCCUAACACAUGCAAGUCGAACGGUAACAGGAAGCAGCUUGCUGCUUCGCUGACGAGUGGCGGACGGGUGAGUAAUGUCUGGGAAGCUGCCUGAUGGAGGGGGAUAACUACUGGAAACGGUAGCUAAUACCGCAUAAUGUCGCAAGACCAAAGAGGGGGACCUUCGGGCCUCUUGCCAUCGGAUGUGCCCAGAUGGGAUUAGCUUGUUGGUGGGGUAACGGCUCACCAAGGCGACGAUCCCUAGCUGGUCUGAGAGGAUGACCAGCCACACUGGAACUAAGACACGGUCCAGACUCCUACGGGAGGCAGCAGUGGGGAAUAUUGCACAAUGGGCGCAAGCCUGAUGCAGCCAUGCCGCGUGUAUGAAGAAGGCCUUCGGGUUGUAAAGUACUUUCAGCGGGGAGGAAGGGAGUAAAGUUAAUACCUUUGCUCAUUGACGUUACCCGCAGAAGAAGCCCCGGCUAAAUCCGUGCCAGCAGCCGCGGUAAUACGGAGGGUGCAAGCGUUAAAUCGAAUUACUGGGCGUUAAGCGCACGCAGGCGGUUUGUUAAG